This 637-nucleotide ribosomal RNA is filed under the name Rhodotorula mucilaginosa. RNAcentral describes it as "eukaryotic LSU rRNA". The stretch from base 218 to 371 matches the Rfam family "5.8S ribosomal RNA". The record is from RNAcentral. Lineage: Eukaryota; Fungi; Basidiomycota; Microbotryomycetes; Sporidiobolales; Sporidiobolaceae.
GUCAAUUGAGGAAGUAAAAGUCGUAACAAGGUUUCCGUAGGUGAACCUGGCGGAAGGAUCAUUAGUGAAUAUAGGACGUCCAACUUAACUUGGAGUCCGAACUCUCACUUUCUAACCCUGUGCACUUGUUUGGGAUAGUAACUCUCGCAAGAGAGCGAACUCCUAUUCACUUAUAAACACAAAGUCUAUGAAUGUAUUAAAUUUUAUAACAAAAUAAAACUUUCAACAACGGAUCUCUUGGCUCUCGCAUCGAUGAAGAACGCAGCGAAAUGCGAUAAGUAAUGUGAAUUGCAGAAUUCAGUGAAUCAUCGAAUCUUUGAACGCACCUUGCGCUCCAUGGUAUUCCGUGGAGCAUGCCUGUUUGAGUGUCAUGAAUACUUCAACCCUCCUCUUUCUUAAUGAUUGAAGAGGUGUUUGGUUUCUGAGCGCUGCUGGCCUUUACGGUCUAGCUCGUUCGUAAUGCAUUAGCAUCCGCAAUCGAACUUCGGAUUGACUUGGCGUAAUAGACUAUUCGCUGAGGAAUUCUAGUCUUCGGACUAGAGCCGGGUUGGGUUAAAGGAAGCUUCUAAUCAGAAUGUCUACAUUUUAAGAUUAGAUCUCAAAUCAGGUAGGACUACCCGCUGAACUUAAGCAUAUC